AUACGUAGGGUGCGAGCGUUGUCCGGAAUUACUGGGCGUAAAGAGCUCGUAGGUGGUUUGUCGCGUCGUCUGUGAAAUUCCGGGGCCUAACUCCGGGCGUGCAGGCGAUACGGGCAUAACUUGAGUACUGUAGGGGAGACUGGAAUUCCUGGUGUAGCGGUGAAAUGCGCAGAUAUCAGGAGGAACACCGGUGGCGAAGGCGGGUCUCUGGGCAGUAACUGACGCUGAGGAGCGAAAGCAUGGGUAGCGAACAGGAUUAGAUACCCUGGUAGUCCAUGCCGUAAACGGUGGGCGCUAGGUGUAGGGGUCUUCCACGACUUCUGUGCCGUAGCUAACGCAUUAAGCGCCCCGCCUGGGGAGUACGGCCGCAAGGCUAAAACUCAAAUGAAUUGACGGGG
RNAcentral lists this ribosomal RNA (398 nucleotides) under uncultured bacterium. Its description in RNAcentral is "partial 16S ribosomal RNA". It matches the Rfam family "Bacterial small subunit ribosomal RNA", at positions 523 to 918 of the family's 1533-position model. The record is from RNAcentral.